GACGAACGCUGGCGGCGUGCCUAAUACAUGCAAGUAGAACGCUGAAGCGAGGAGCUUGCUCUUCUUGGAUGAGUUGCGAACGGGUGAGUAACGCGUAGGUAACCUGCCUUGUAGCGGGGGAUAACUAUUGGAAACGAUAGCUAAUACCGCAUAACAAUGGAUGACACAUGUCAUUUAUUUGAAAGUGGCAAUUGCUCCACUACAAGAUGGACCUGCGUUGUAUUAGCUAGUAGGUGAGGUAAUGGCUCACCUAGGCGACGAUACAUAGCCGACCUGAGAGGGUGAUCGGCCACACUGGGACUGAGACACGGCCCAGACUCCUACGGGAGGCAGCAGUAGGGAAUCUUCGGCAAUGGGGGCAACCCUGACCGAGCAACGCCGCGUGAGUGAAGAAGGGUUUCGGAUCGUAAAGCUCUGUUGUAAGUCAAGAACGGGUGUGAGAGUGGAAAGUUCACACUGUGACGGUAGCUUACCAGAAAGGGACGGCUAAUUACGUG
RNAcentral lists this ribosomal RNA (497 nucleotides) under uncultured bacterium. RNAcentral describes it as "partial 16S ribosomal RNA". It matches the Rfam family "Bacterial small subunit ribosomal RNA", at positions 28 to 507 of the family's 1533-position model. The record is from RNAcentral.